This 253-nucleotide ribosomal RNA is filed under the name uncultured bacterium. RNAcentral describes it as "partial 16S ribosomal RNA". It matches the Rfam family "Bacterial small subunit ribosomal RNA", at positions 524 to 776 of the family's 1533-position model. The record is from RNAcentral.
UACGUAGGUGGCAAGCGUUGUCCGGAUUUACUGGGCGUAAAGAGCGCGCAGGCGGUCGAUCAAGUCGCGUGUGAAAGCCCCCGGCUCAACUGGGGAGGGUCACGCGAUACUGAUCGACUCGAAGGCAGGAGAGGGUAGUGGAAUUCCCGGUGUAGUGGUGAAAUGCGUAGAUAUCGGGAGGAACACCAGUGGCGAAGGCGACUACCUGGCCUGUUUCUUGACGCUGAGGCGCGAAAGCUAGGGAGCAACAGGG